UCGUGGCGCUGAUGCACAUCGCCAUCUUGGAUCGAUCAGUCGGCAGUAGCAGUCGAAAAGUGCGCUGAUUUUGAUUCUCGAAUUCUUGUCAUAUUCGAAUGACAGAUGUGAUGUCCGUUAUAAAAUCAAAGGGGGCGGCGGUUGUCCUUCAGUACCGCUCCAUUGACCCGAAGACAACCUCUCAACAUGAUCGGAAUCUAAUACACACAAGGAAGAAAGGGCAAGCCAUAAAGUUGGGGUUUUAAGACAUUCAGUUGGAUCACGGCUUCUUUCAUCCAAUCUGAUUUUCGAUCGACGAAAUAGAAUAGAGAAGAGGACGUGUCUGAUCGCUCGCUUACCCCGACGACUUCUUGCUUCGGUGUAUCGGGUGGACUGGCUAUACUACCCUCGGAUCUCAUGUGCAAAGAGCUACAACUUGGGCUUGGCGAGAGGUCGCGAGUAUUGGCAGUUGUGCUGACAGCGCUCGGAGAUUGCGAAGGAUCCCUAGUUAGACUACUGACCAAGGCACUUGUAUCGCUUUGCGUCGAUCCCCGUCGCUGCGACCUCUCGCUGUCUAUCAUCCCACCAGAAACUUGAAAGAGAAACAUCAAAUCUCGAUAAGCUAUUUCGAACUUUCACAAUCUCAAUUUUUAUUCCACCUUUCACAUAUGUAUACGUAUAUGUGUGUGUGUAUGUAUAUAUAUAUAUAUAUAUAUAAAGAUGUAACAUUCGCAUAAACUUCGUGCAAUUAUGUAAUUUCGUGCCGCGAACGAAUGAAAUUGGCGAACGAAGUUGCAACGGAUUUGCGAAUCGAGCAAUCUAUACGAUAAAUAAUGAUUCGAAAAGUAAUGGUAACCGAUUCAAUUUCGUCUGGUGUAAAAAUUUAUAUAUAGGAGUAUAUAUUACGUGUGUUGUUAUCCUUACCUAAUGGGGAGAGGCCGACACUUCGGGGGGAGCCACAGAGCACAGGGCUGCUGCUGAUACUAUCUCCCCCUCCUAUCAAACUUCUCCCACCUGAUAAUUUUUGGAUCAAUUGUAGAAUUGUUAUAUGUAACGUGUUAACGAUUUAUUAACUAAAGUCUAGACUCACUGUCUGCAUAUACUCAUGUGCACUAUACGACUUUCUAUAUCUCCAAUGGACAAAGGUAAAACGUUGUAUUUUGUACGUGCAAGAAAACUGAUUAUUCAUGUUGUCAUUGUGUUUAAAUAAUAUAUAUAUAUAUGAUAUCAUCCGCAUGCAUUUGAAUCUUAUGGUAUAGUCGCACACAUCAACAAGGAGAUAAGGUGCUAAUUGUACGUUUCUUGAAAAAUAUUGUAAAGUGUAAGGAAAAUAAAUGGCGAACAACAUUAAACAUGUAUACGCUAUGUAUAUACCUAUAUGUAUAUACUAUAUAUAUAUAUGUGUGUAUAUAUGUAUCAUUAACAGAAUGAGGGUUAUGUCGAGUAGGAAAGGAACGAGUACCUGGUGCAUGAGCAGCAGGAGGGAAGAGGCAAUUACCAGAACCAACUGGCUGCCGACUGGACCCAGCUAAGAGCAACAUUACUAUUCUGUUAUAACUAAUCCGACAAUAAAAAAAUCUUAUAUUUAAUAUCCUAAGGUUCGU
Long non-coding RNA from Apis laboriosa (Himalayan honeybee), 1583 nucleotides. RefSeq lists it as uncharacterized. Lineage: Eukaryota; Metazoa; Arthropoda; Insecta; Hymenoptera; Apidae. The record is from RefSeq and is a predicted model, not a curated record. The transcript has 3 exons.